Small nucleolar RNA from Malania oleifera, 192 nucleotides. RefSeq annotates it as small nucleolar RNA Z112. Lineage: Eukaryota; Viridiplantae; Streptophyta; Magnoliopsida; Santalales; Ximeniaceae. The transcript has a single exon. The record is from RefSeq and is a predicted model, not a curated record.
AUUCCUGUGAAGAAGAAAGACCGAUAGGAAGUGCCGUAUGACACUCCAAACAGCAGCGGCGAUGUCCUCCCACUCUUCCCAUCCGCCAAUGUCAACCCUAUUAUCUACUCUUAGGGUUCCGUGCAUUGGUCGGGAUCUGCGGGCUUUGGCGUUCCGCUGUGUGCGUGAUUUGAAAAGAGGUCUCUGAGGAUC